GACGAACGCUGGCGGCGUGCUUAACACAUGCAAGUCGAACGGAAAGGCCCUGCUUUUGUGGGGUGCUCGAGUGGCGAACGGGUGAGUAACACGUGAGUAACCUGCCCUUGACUUUGGGAUAACUUCAGGAAACUGGGGCUAAUACCGGAUAGGAGCUCCUGCUGCAUGGUGGGGGUUGGAAAGUUUCGGCGGUUGGGGAUGGACUCGCGGCUUAUCAGCUUGUUGGUGGGGUAGUGGCUUACCAAGGCUUUGACGGGUAGCCGGCCUGAGAGGGUGACCGGCCACAUUGGGACUGAGAUACGGACCAGACUGCUACGGGAGGCAGCAGUGGGGAAUAUUGCACAAUGGGCGGAAGCCUGAUGCAGCAACGCCGCGUGCGGGAUGACGGCCUUCGGGUUGUAAACAGAUUUCGCCUGUGACGAAGCGUGAGUGACGGUAAUGGGUAAAGAAGCACCGGCUAACUACGUG
This 468-nucleotide ribosomal RNA is filed under the name uncultured bacterium. RNAcentral describes it as "partial 16S ribosomal RNA". It matches the Rfam family "Bacterial small subunit ribosomal RNA", at positions 28 to 507 of the family's 1533-position model. The record is from RNAcentral.